AUGGCUGGAAAGGACAGUGGGAACCUGAAGACGGUGAGGCUGUGGCGGGACGCCGCCCUGCGCGCCAGGAAGCUGCGGAGCAACCUGCGCCAGCUCACGCUCAGCGCGGCCGGGGCCGACCCCAUCGACUCCCCCGACGCGCCCCAGCUCGUGCUGCCGGCCAACAUCGGGGACAUUGAGGUGCUGAACCUGGGCAACAACGGCCUGGAGGAGGUGCCCGACGGGCUGGGCUCGGCGCUGGGCAGCCUGCGUGUCCUGGUCCUGCGCAGGAACCGCUUCGCCCGCCUGCCCCCGGCGGUGGCCGAGUUGGGCCACCACCUCACUGAGCUGGACGUGAGCCACAACCGGCUGACCGCCCUGGGCGCAGAGGUGGUGAGUGCUCUGCGGGAGCUGCGCAAGCUCAACCUCAGCCACAACCAGCUGCCCGCCCUGCCCGCCCAGCUGGGCGCCCUUGCCCACCUGGAGGAGCUGGAUGUUAGCUUUAACCGGCUGGCGCACCUGCCCGACUCCCUCUCCUGCCUCUACCGCCUGCGCACCCUCGACGUGGACCACAACCAGCUCACUGCUUUUCCCCGGCAGCUGCUGCAGCUGGCGGCCCUGGAGGAGCUGGACGUGUCCAGCAACCGGCUGCGGGGCCUACCUGAGGAUAUCAGUGCCCUGCGUGCCCUCAAGAUCCUCUGGCUCAGUGGGGCUGAGCUUGGCACCCUGCCCAGCGGCUUCUGUGAGCUGGCCAGCCUGGAGAGCCUCAUGCUAGACAACAACGGGCUGCAGGCUCUGCCCGCCCAGUUCAGCCGUCUGCAGCGGCUCAAAAUGCUCAACCUCUCCUCCAACCUUUUUGAGGAGUUCCCUGCCGCGCUGCUGCCCCUGGCUGGUCUGGAGGAGCUCUACCUUAGCCGCAACCAGCUCACCUCAGUGCCAUCCCUCAUCUCGGGCCUCAGUCGGCUUCUCACCCUGUGGCUGGAUAAUAACCGGAUCCGCUACCUGCCGGACUCCAUCGUGGAACUGACCGGCCUGGAGGAGCUGGUGCUGCAGGGGAACCAGAUCGCUGUGCUGCCGGACAACUUUGGCCAGCUCUCCCGGGUGGGCCUGUGGAAGAUCAAGGACAACCCACUGAUCCAGCCCCCCUACGAGGUCUGUAUGAAGGGGAUCCCCUACAUCGCAGCCUACCAGAAGGAGCUGGCUCAUUCCCAGCCGGCGGUGCAGCCGCGCCUCAAGCUGCUUCUGAUGGGCCAUAAGGCUGCAGGAAAGACCUUACUCCGCCACUGCCUCACCGAGGAGAGAGUGGAGGGAAACCAAGGAGGAGGGGACAAGGAGAAGAGCUACCCACCUUCACCUCCUCCCGUGAGUAAGGGCAUUGAGGUGACCAGCUGGACGGCCGAUGCUUCCCGGGGCCUGCGGUUCAUCGUGUAUGACUUAGCUGGCGAUGAAAGUUACGAGGUGAUCCAGCCCUUCUUCCUCUCCCCAGGAGCCCUUUAUGUGCUGGUGGUGAACUUGGCCACCUAUGAGCCACCCGGCUUUCCCACCACCGUGGGCUCCUUCUUGCAUCGGGUAGGGGCCCGGGUGCCUCACGCCGUGGUGUGCAUCGUGGGCACGCACGCAGACCUGUGUGGGGAGCGGGAGCUAGAGGAGAAGUGUCUGGACAUCCACCGCCAGAUCGCCCUGCAGGAGAAGCACGACGCGGAGGGGCUGAGCCGUCUGGCGCAGGUGGUGGACGAGGCCCUGGCCCGGGACUUCGAGCUGCGUUCCGCCAGCCCCCACGCAGCCUACUAUGGGGUUUCGGACAAGAACCUUCGGCGGCGCAAGGCCCAUUUUCAGUACCUGCUCAACCACCGGCUGCAGAUCCUCUCCCCGGUGUUGCCUGUUAGCUGCAGGGACCCCCGCCAAUUACAGCGCCUUCGGGACAAACUGCUCUCCGUGGCCGAGCACCGGGAAAUCUUCCCCAACUUACACAGAGUACUGCCUCGAUCCUGGCAGGUGCUGGAGGAACUGCAUUUCCAGCCCCCUCAGGCGCAGCGGCUUUGGCUAAGCUGGUGGGACUCGGCGCGCCUGGGCUUGCAGGCGGGUCUGACCGAGGACCGGCUGCAGAGCGCUCUCUCCUACCUGCACGAGAGCGGCAAGCUGCUCUACUUUGAGGACAGCCCGGCGCUCAAGGAGCACGUCUUCCACAACCUCACCCGCCUCAUCGACAUUCUCAAUGUCUUUUUCCAGAGGGAUCCUUCCUUGCUGCUGCAUAAGCUGCUCCUAGGGACCAGCGGAGAGGGCGAAGGCGAGGGGGAAAGCUCCCCCGUGGUGGCGCUGCCCAACCCGAGCCAGGACCUGCUGCGGGCCACCCAGCUCCAUCAUUAUGUAGAGGGCUUUCUGCUUCAUGGGCUCUUGCCAGCCCAUGUCAUUCGGUUGCUGCUUAAGCCUCAUGUCCAGGCCCAGCAGGACUUGCAGCUGCUGCUGGAGCUGCUGGAGAAGAUGGGACUCUGUUACUGCCUCAAUAAACCCAAGGGCAAGCCUUUGAAUGGGUCCACGGCCUGGUACAAGUUCCCAUGCUAUGUGCAGAACGAAGUGCCCCACGCGGAGGCCUGGAUUAACGGGACCAACCUGGCGGGGCAGUCUUUCGUGGCUGAGCAACUGCAGAUUGAAUAUAGUUUUCCCUUUACCUUCCCACCUGGGUUGUUUGCACGCUACAGCGUCCAAAUCAACAGCCAUGUGGUGCACAGGUCCGAUGGGAAACUUCAGAUCUUUGCCUAUCGGGGGAAAGUUCCAGUGGUGGUGAGUUACAGACCUGCGAAGGGGGUCCUGCACCCAGACACUCUGUCCAUUGCCAGCCAUGCAUCAUUACCAAAUAUAUGGACGGCAUGGCAAGCCAUAACCCCUUUGGUAGAGGAACUGAAUGUCCUACUUCAGGAGUGGCCUGGACUGCACUACACCGUGCACAUUCUCUGUUCUAAGUGCCUUAAGAGAGGGUCACCCAAUCCACACGCUUUCCCAGGGGAGUUGCUGAGUCAGCCCAGACCAGAAGGAGUGGCAGAGAUCAUUUGCCCCAAGAACGGCAGCGAGCGAGUGAAUGUUGCCUUGGUCUACCCACCCACACCAACUGUGAUCAGCCCCUGUUCCAAGUAUCUCCAUACUUUCUUGGAAAAUUAAGUGGAAAAGAUAGUGCUUCUUUCCCUUAUGCCAUCAUUUUUACUGUACCCAAUCUGUGACUUUAGGAGCACCAAUUCUUAAGGGAAGAACGUUGGCGAAAAGCACAGAAACCAGUGACUUGUAUGGCUGUGGAAUUUCCGUGGAGAAAAGAGAGCAUCAGAACCCACCUGGACCAUCUUUCGGACCUGGCCAACCCUCCACACUCCCAAGAGUGUUCGUGAACUUGGGUGCCUAAGUGUUGAGGAUGCUCACAAAGGAGGAGCACACCUGGGCUGCGGACGAGGGGUGGGGGGGAAGAGCUGAGGGAAGGGUGGGAGGAUAUGGAGCAAAUGUUUUACAACCUGAACCUCAGAACUGUGAUCCUCCAAGGAGAGCGCUACUUGAAGAAAAGAAAAAAAAAAAGUCGAAUGGCUUCUCAGGGAUUUUGUUUUCCGUGCACAUAUAAGCCAUAGUUCCAGUGCAGGUGGCAGUAUUUAGAGCACUCAGAUUUCAGUUAUGUUAAAUGUGAAAGAGGGAUCGACUGACCAUUCAUUGCUGUUCCAUAACUAGUGUAAAAUAUGUAUAUGUUUUAUCUUUAUUUUUAUAAUAUGCAAAUACAUUUAAAUUUAUACAGUUUGAAGCUUCUAGCGUUAGUUAACACUGGGUGCAAUAUUCUGCAUGAGAACUGUGCCAAGAUGGGGCUGAUUUCUUAUUUUAGCAUAAGACCUUUUUGUUCAUUCUUUGUUCUUUAAUCCUUCUCAGAUUAAAAAAAAAAGAUAUCUGUCUGCCCGUGGAGUAAACGUUGGUUCACAGAGGUUGUCAAUAAUCUGCAAGAACCUUAAACAUGCAUUUCAGGCAAACGUGCAUUUCCCUCCCCUGCUUUUAAAUAAAGGUCCCUUUAUUUAUAAGGGCACACCAUUGGGCAGGAUAAUGGGAUUAUUCCUUUUCUUUACCCCACAUGUCACUAGUGCCGGGCAGUGUCCUUUCCUGCAGGUUUGGUGUUGACCGUGGGUUGUCACAGGUGAUGUGCUGAUGGAGGCCUGGUCUUAGGAUUCUCUAGUAAGCGGGGUAAAUGGGUCAGCAAGUCUUUCAAUAGCUUAAGCUAAUCAGGAGUCAGUGCUAAAGCAUGCCAAGAGCUCUGCUCCUAAGUCCUUUUUUUUCUAGAACAGUCUGUGAAAUUUCGCAGAGCACUUUGAAAGCCCUCCACAUCUGGCUGUCAGACCUUAAGAUAGUGAGCUGCCUAAUUGGAGAGCAUAAUCCCACAUUGGUUAUUUAUAAAUACAGAGCCUCUGAUUGGACUGUUGACUGCCCAGAGCUAGUAAAAGCCGUGUUUAAAAAUCUCCACAAAGUAAAAUUUAAAAAGCAAACCAAACAAAUUGCUGUCUCUUCAACUUUUAAUUGGGGCCAAACAGCGUCUGCUGCAACGGUAAUGCAUUCUCUGAAGAAUGUAAAAGACCCUUUACGUCUGCCUCCUUCAUGUGUUGAUUGAAAAUGUGUAAAACUGUUUCUCGCCAGGUUAGUAAGACAAGAAAAGGGAGUCAGCUAGUAGUAUUCUGUUACUUCUUUUAUAAAGUAUUGACUCUUAGAAUGCCACAGUAUACAAAGUCUCAGCUUAUUUUUAAGAGAAAUAACAAACAAGCAAGCAGCCGCAUUGUAAAAACUCACAAAUCGGUUUUUCUAGUUAAACCAGUAUGAUUUCUUAUGAUCACAAAAUCGAAUGAGAUCAGACCAUUUCUGUGUUUUUUACUACUUGAAUAUGACGCCUCAGAUUUGAGAUUUCAUUUUCUUUUUGAGCCCAUUCUCAAGAUUAAUCUGGUUAGUCCUUUUGUCACAGUUCUCGUGUGCGUGCGUGUGUGUGUGUGUAAGUGUAAACCGAAUGAUAACAUUUAAUUGCUUUAUGGACCAUUGAAUUGUUGGGCAUAAAAAUUUUUUAAUUGGCAUGAGACAGUUCCUAAACUGUCAAAUUAACCGACUUUGACCCGUCUUUUGAAAAAAGACUCUGAAGUGUGUGACUUCGGGCUAACUCCCCAGAGGACCAUAUGAAAUGAAAAAAAAAAAAAAAAUGGUCCUUUGGGUGACAUACCCUGCAAAGUAUUUGCUGUUACUAUGAACAUAAAUGCCCAUGUUCUUAAUAUCUGCUCUUUUUUGACAAGUGACGUCUUGUGCUGUCAUCUGAACCCUAGAGAAGCAGUGUAAGAAGAAAUCUUGGUGUCACAUGUGUUUUAGCAAAAAGGUCAUGACGAUAGAGGAUCAUGUGACUGAAAGAAGCUCCAGAAAAGCUUGAGAACUUGCUUCAGGGUCGGGGGGAGGGUUGGAGAUCCGGAAAACACUCUGCUCUACGAGAAUUUUCGCCGUCUAUGCAGGAAACUCACUCUUCUCUCUCGACACCUGGGAAGACUCAGCCAGCGGAGGCUGACAGGCAGUUCACUAAGCACAACGGGGUCUUUUCCAACCAAGUGGUCCCCUGCCUCGCAAACAGACGCCCUCCAAGUUUGUUAUGGUUUCUAUUCCUGCAACUUGUGGUAUCAGAACCACUUCCUGGAAUUGUGAAAGUGCUGCCAGAAUAAAUGUUUUUCCUCCUUCCAAGAAAAAAAAUGACAGUGCUCAUAUUUGACACUUGUGCUUUGGACUCUUUUGAAUGAAUAAAAAGGAAAGGGUUGGGUGUAAUUCCUGAUGGGGUGUGUGUUCUUUUUCAUGCCACAGUUUGUGAAUUGUAAUUGUGGUUUCCCAUUUAAUUGUCGUAACUGGGCAGAAAUUUAAAAAAAAAAAUCAAAAAAGUUCAAUAAAAAUACAAAGGAAUGGUUAAGCAAUUGUAUUU
Equus quagga is the source of this 5932-nucleotide RNA transcript. It is a transcript of the gene named multifunctional ROCO family signaling regulator 1, with no coding region annotated. Lineage: Eukaryota; Metazoa; Chordata; Mammalia; Perissodactyla; Equidae. The record is from RefSeq and is a predicted model, not a curated record. The transcript has 4 exons.